This 254-nucleotide ribosomal RNA is filed under the name uncultured bacterium. Its description in RNAcentral is "partial 16S ribosomal RNA". It matches the Rfam family "Bacterial small subunit ribosomal RNA", at positions 524 to 776 of the family's 1533-position model. The record is from RNAcentral.
UACGUAGGGUGCGAGCGUUGUCCGGAAUUAUUGGGCGUAAAGAGCUCGUAGGCGGUCUGUCGCGUCGAUCGUGAAAACUUGGGGCUUAACCCUGAGCUUGCGGUCGAUACGGGCAUGACUGGAGUUCGGCAGGGGAGACUGGAAUUCCUGGUGUAGCGGUGAAAUGCGCAGAUAUCAGGAGGAACACCGGUGGUGAAGGCGGGUCUCUGGGCCACUACUGACGCUGAGAAGCGAAAGCAUGGGGAGCGAACAGG